GAUGAACGCUGGCGGCGUGCCUAAUACAUGCAAGUCGAGCGAACAGAUAAGGAGCUUGCUCCUUUGACGUUAGCGGCGGACGGGUGAGUAACACGUGGGUAACCUACCUAUAAGACUGGGAUAACUUCGGGAAACCGGAGCUAAUACCGGAUAAUAUUUCGAACCGCAUGGUUCGAUAGUGAAAGAUGGUUUUGCUAUCACUUAUAGAUGGACCCGCGCCGUAUUAGCUAGUUGGUAAGGUAACGGCUUACCAAGGCGACGAUACGUAGUCGACCUGAGAGGGUGAUCGGCCACACUGGAACUGAGACACGGUCCAGACUCCUACGGGAGGCAGCAGUAGGGAAUCUUCCGCAAUGGGCGAAAGCCUGACGGAGCAACGCCGCGUGAGUGAUGAAGGUCUUCGGAUCGUAAAACUCUGUUAUUAGGGAAGAACAUACGUGUAAGUAACUGUGCACGUCUUGACGGUACCUAAUCAGAAAGCCACGGCUAACUACGUGCCAGCAGCCGCGGUAAUACGUAGGUGGCAAGCGUUAUCCGGAAUUAUUGGGCGUAAAGCGCGCGUAGGCGGUUUUUUAAGUCUGAUGUGAAAGCCCACGGCUCAACCGUGGAGGGUCAUUGGAAACUGGAAAACUUGAGUGCAGAAGAGGAAAGUGGAAUUCCAUGUGUAGCGGUGAAAUGCGCAGAGAUAUGGAGGAACACCAGUGGCGAAGGCGACUUUCUGGUCUGUAACUGACGCUGAUGCGCGAAAGCGUGGGGAUCAAACAGGAUUAGAUACCCUGGUAGUCCACGCCGUAAACGAUGAGUGCUUAGUGUUAAGGGGUUUCCGCCCCUUAUUGCUGCAGCUAACGCAUUAAGCACUCCGCCUGGGGAGUACGACCGCAAGGUUGAAACUCACAGGAAUUGCCGGGGACCCGCACAAGCGGUGGAGCAUGUGGUUUAAUUUGAAGCAACGCGAAGCACCUUAUCAACUCUUGACAUCCUUUGACAACUGUAGAGAUAGAGCUUUCCCCUUCUGGGGACAAAGUGACAGGUGGCGCAUGGUUGUAGUCAGCUCGCGUCGUGAGAUGUUGGGUUAAGUCCCGCAACGAGCGCAACCCCUAAGCUUAGUUGCCAUCACUAACUUGGGCACUCUAAGUUGACUGCCGGUGACAAACCGGAGGAAGGUGGGGAUGACGUCAAAUCAUCAUGCCCCUUAUGAUUUGGGCUACACACGUGCUACAAUGGACAAUACAAAGGGCAGCGAAACCGCGAGGUCAAGCAAAUCCCAUAAAGUUGUUCUCAGUUCGGAUUGUAGUCUGCAACUCGACUACAUGAAGCUGGAAUCGCUAGUAAUCGUAGAUCAGCAUGCUACGGUGAAUACGUUCCCGGGUCU
RNAcentral lists this ribosomal RNA (1372 nucleotides) under uncultured bacterium. Its description in RNAcentral is "bacterial SSU rRNA". It matches the Rfam family "Bacterial small subunit ribosomal RNA", at positions 28 to 1381 of the family's 1533-position model. The record is from RNAcentral.